RNAcentral lists this ribosomal RNA (1686 nucleotides) under Escherichia coli. RNAcentral's name for it is "bacterial LSU rRNA". It matches the Rfam family "Bacterial large subunit ribosomal RNA", at positions 977 to 2646 of the family's 2925-position model. Lineage: Bacteria; Pseudomonadati; Pseudomonadota; Gammaproteobacteria; Enterobacterales; Enterobacteriaceae. The record is from RNAcentral.
ACGGGAGACACACGGCGGGUGCUAACGUCCGUCGUGAAGAGGGAAACAACCCAGACCGCCAGCUAAGGUCCCAAAGUCAUGGUUAAGUGGGAAACGAUGUGGGAAGGCCCAGACAGCCAGGAUGUUGGCUUAGAAGCAGCCAUCAUUUAAAGAAAGCGUAAUAGCUCACUGGUCGAGUCGGCCUGCGCGGAAGAUGUAACGGGGCUAAACCAUGCACCGAAGCUGCGGCAGCGACACUAUGUGUUGUUGGGUAGGGGAGCGUUCUGUAAGCCUGUGAAGGUGGCCUGUGAGGGUUGCUGGAGGUAUCAGAAGUGCGAAUGCUGACAUAAGUAACGAUAAAGCGGGUGAAAAGCCCGCUCGCCGGAAGACCAAGGGUUCCUGUCCAACGUUAAUCGGGGCAGGGUGAGUCGACCCCUAAGGCGAGGCCGAAAGGCGUAGUCGAUGGGAAACAGGUUAAUAUUCCUGUACUUGGUGUUACUGCGAAGGGGGGACGGAGAAGGCUAUGUUGGCCGGGCGACGGUUGUCCCGGUUUAAGCGUGUAGGCUGGUUUUCCAGGCAAAUCCGGAAAACUAAGGCUGAGGCGUGAUGACGAGGCACUACGGUGCUGAAGCAACAAAUGCCCUGCUUCCAGGAAAAGCCUCUAAGCAUCAGGUAACAUCAAAUCGUACCCCAAACCGACACAGGUGGUCAGGUAGAGAAUACCAAGGCGCUUGAGAGAACUCGGGUGAAGGAACUAGGCAAAAUGGUGCCGUAACUUCGGGAGAAGGCACGCUGAUAUGUAGGUGAAGCGACUUGCUCGUGGAGCUGAAAUCAGUCGAAGAUACCAGCUGGCUGCAACUGUUUAUUAAAAACACAGCACUGUGCAAACACGAAAGUGGACGUAUACGGUGUGACGCCUGCCCGGUGCCGGAAGGUUAAUUGAUGGGGUUAGCGGUAACGCGAAGCUCUUGAUCGAAGCCCCGGUAAACGGCGGCCGUAACUAUAACGGUCCUAAGGUAGCGAAAUUCCUUGUCGGGUAAGUUCCGACCUGCACGAAUGGCGUAAUGAUGGCCAGGCUGUCUCCACCCGAGACUCAGUGAAAUUGAACUCGCUGUGAAGAUGCAGUGUACCCGCGGCAAGACGGAAAGACCCCGUGAACCUUUACUAUAGCUUGACACUGAACAUUGAGCCUUGAUGUGUAGGAUAGGUGGGAGGCUUUGAAGUGUGGACGCCAGUCUGCAUGGAGCCGACCUUGAAAUACCACCCUUUAAUGUUUGAUGUUCUAACGUUGACCCGUGAUCCGGGUUGCGGACAGUGUCUGGUGGGUAGUUUGACUGGGGCGGUCUCCUCCUAAAGAGUAACGGAGGAGCACGAAGGUUGGCUAAUCCUGGUCGGACAUCAGGAGGUUAGUGCAAUGGCAUAAGCCAGCUUGACUGCGAGCGUGACGGCGCGAGCAGGUGCGAAAGCAGGUCAUAGUGAUCCGGUGGUUCUGAAUGGAAGGGCCAUCGCUCAACGGAUAAAAGGUACUCCGGGGAUAACAGGCUGAUACCGCCCAAGAGUUCAUAUCGACGGCGGUGUUUGGCACCUCGAUGUCGGCUCAUCACAUCCUGGGGCUGAAGUAGGUCCCAAGGGUAUGGCUGUUCGCCAUUUAAAGUGGUACGCGAGCUGGGUUUAGAACGUCGUGAGACAGUUCGGUCCCUAUCUGCC